Molecule: small RNA, 68 nt
Filed under: Salix viminalis (osier)
Lineage: Eukaryota; Viridiplantae; Streptophyta; Magnoliopsida; Malpighiales; Salicaceae
Source: RNAcentral
GUUGUUAGGCCGAGUGGUUAAGACGUGUGGCUUUCCCUGAUGUGAGAGUUCAAAUCUCUCAGGCAACA